ACCCGUUGAUCCUGCGGGAGGUCGCUACUAUUAGGGUUCGACUAAGCCAUGCAAGUCAGAGGGGCUCUUCGGAGUCACAGGCAAAAUGCUCAGUAACACGUCGUUAAUCUAACCUUAGAUCUGGAAUAACCUUGGAAAACUGAGGCUAAAACCGGAUAUGGGAAAAUAAUUGGAAAAUGUUUUCCUUUAAAAGCAAUGUCUAAGGAUGAGACGGCGGCGGAUUAGGUUGUUGGCGGGGUAAUGGCCCACCAAGCCGACGAUCCGUAGGGGCCGUGAGAGCGGUAGCCCCGAGAAGGACACUGAGAUACUGGUCCUAGCCCUACGGGGUGCAGCAGGCGCGAAACCUUUACAAUGCACGAAAGUGUGAUAAGGGAACCCUAAGUGCUCAUGUUUUACAUGGGCUUUUGCCAAGAAUAAAUAUCUUGGCGAAUAAGUGGUGGGAAAGACUGGUGCCAGCAGCCGCGUAACACCAGCGCCACAAGUAGGGACCACUACUAUUGGGCCUAAAGCGUCCGUAGCCGGCUGAAUAAAUUUCUUGUGAAAUUGUUGGGCUUAACCUAACAACGUGCAGGAAAAACUGUUCAGCUUGGAACCGGGAGAAGUCAGGAGUAUGCUGGGGGGAGCGGUAAAAUGUUAUAAUCCCCGGUAGACUACCAGUGGCGAAGGCGCCUGACUAGAACGGAUUCGACGGUGAGGGACGAAAGCCAGGGGAGCGAAGCGGAUUAGAUACCCGUGUAGUCCUGGCCGUAAACGCUGCGAGCUAGGUGUUGCAUAUUCUACAUGAAUAUGCAGUAUCGAAGCGAAGGUGAUAAGCUCGCCGCCUGGGAAGUAUGGUCGCAAGGCUGAAACUUAAAGGAAUUGGCGGGGGAGCACUACAAGGGGUGCGGCGUGCGGUUUAAUCUAAUUCAACGCAGAGAAUCUCACCAGAAGCGACGGCAGGAUGAAAGUCAGGCUAAAGGUCUUACUUGACGAGCCGAGAGGUAGUGCAUGGCCGCCGUCAGCUCGUGCUGUAAAGUGUCCUGUUAAGUCAGGCAACGAGCGAGACCUGCAUCUACAAUUGCUAACGGAUUCUUUAGAAUGACUGAGCACAUUGUGGAGACUGCCCAGGAAACAGGGAGGAAGGUGCAGGCUACGGUAGGUCUGUAUGCUCCGAAUCUUCUGGGCUACACGCGCGCAACAAUGGUAAGGACAAUGGGAUGCGACUCCGAAAGGAGGAGCUAAUCCUCGAAACCUUAUCCAAGUCUAGAUUGAGGAUUGUAACUCAUCCUCAUGACAAUGGAAUCCCUAGUAAUCAGAGUUUAUCAUACUCCGGUGAACAUGUCCCUGCUCCUUGCACACACCGCCCGUCAAGCCACCCGAGUAGGGUUUAGGUGAGAGGUAAAUUUUAUUUGCAUCGAACCUAAGCUCAGCGAGGAGGGCUAAGUCGUCACAAGGUA
This 1436-nucleotide ribosomal RNA is filed under the name metagenome. Its description in RNAcentral is "bacterial SSU rRNA". It matches the Rfam family "Archaeal small subunit ribosomal RNA". The record is from RNAcentral.